GUCUGCACACUGAAGCAUGGUGAUAAGUCCAGACAGCUGAGUUUGACAUGGCCUCCCUCUCUCUCUGCUGUUAUGCCUGGGACAUUACCAUUCAGAAGGGACGUCCGUAUAUGGCCGGGAUUGGAAACACUAAAAAUAGUCCCUGGGAGACACAAAUCCAGUCAAGGUUUACCUCUGAAAAACCAAAGGACUUACCAUUGUGAAAACAUCUGCAACGUAGUUACAGUCUUGUUUCAUCGCUGGAACUCCUGUACGGACUCAGGAGAGGCGACUGUUGAGAGCCAUGCGUCCUCCGAAACACAACCCAACCAAGCUGCACAAUGACACAAUGCCCAUCCAACCCGAAGCCAGCCGCACCAAUGUAUCGGAGGAAAGACCGUAUACCUGGCGACCGUGUCAGCGUGCACUGCCCUGGCCCGCCACAGGAGUCACUAGUGCGCGAUGAGACAAGGAUAUCCCUGCUGGCCAAACCCUCCCCUAACCCGGAUGACACUGGGCCAAUUGUGCGCCUCCCCGACAACAGACUUAAAGCACAAUUAUAGAUCUCCUCUAGAGCAGUGAUGUUUUGGGGCUGUUGCUGGGCAACACGGACUUUCAACUCCUUCCAAAGAUUUUCUAUGGGGUUGAGAUCUGGAGACAGGCUAGGCCACUCCAGGACCUUGAAAUGCUUCUUACGAAGCCACUCCUUCGUUGCCCGGGUGGUGUGUUUGGGAUCAUUGUCAUGCUGAAAGACCCAGCCACGUUUCAUCUUCAAUGCCCUUACUGAUGGAAGAAGGUUUUCACUCAAAAUCUCACGAUACAUGGCCCCAUUCAUUCUUUCCUUUACAUGGAAAUGCAAACAAACCUAAAAUGGGGUUAAAUGUACGAUGUAUUAUGUGGGUUGAAUGCUGUAACACAGAAUAAAACAAUUAAUAAAAGUCCCACGAUGGUAGUGACUGUCCAUUAUUUAACUUUAAUAAAAUAUUUAAGUUGUCG
Oncorhynchus tshawytscha (Chinook salmon) is the source of this 975-nucleotide long non-coding RNA. NCBI's taxonomy places the organism in Eukaryota, Metazoa, Chordata, Actinopteri, Salmoniformes, Salmonidae. The record is from Ensembl.